Molecule: long non-coding RNA, 419 nt
Filed under: Homo sapiens (human)
Lineage: Eukaryota; Metazoa; Chordata; Mammalia; Primates; Hominidae
Description: HSALNT0000700
Source: RNAcentral
GCCACCCUGGCGACGUCCAACCGAGUGCCCUGAGCGCUGCCCGAACACGAGCAGCUCUGCCCAGGAAGCGACUCCAAACCCAAUCAUCUCCACUGUUUUUGUUAAACAUCUUUAGGGAAGCCUGGGAGACCUGCUCUGCCGAACGUGGUCCAAAUCCUCAUGGAGACAGGCGCACCAGAUCCUGCACCCAGGAGCUGGGACGCCGCUGGCAUGGGCCUGCUUAGGACUGUUCAGCAUCUCCUCACGCCAUUGCCCGACCCGCUAAUCAGCUUGAGGAGAAAGGAGAGAGGAAAUGCCGUCCUUUGACAAGAUGUGGGAAACCACCUCGGUUUGUACUUGGUGUGGCUGUGACCGGCAAACAAAGAACCCUCCCCGGCUCUGGGGCCAAGUUUCCAAUAAACUUUUCCCUGAGCACUUUC